AUGAGUAGGGAUAAUGAUGAUGACCAGAGAGUACAUACUGGGACUCUUGCCAAGAGUAAGGACUCAAAGAGUAAGAGCAAUGAUGAAGAUGGUUCUAAUGAGAACAAAGAGAGCACUCAUGCAUCCACUACCCAGAAGAAGAUGAAGGUGGCAUGGACAACUGAGCUUCAUAACAAGUUUCUAGAAGCUAUCUACCAGAUCGGCCUUGAAAAGGCUGCUCCAAACAAGAUAUUGGAGCUGAUGAAUGUGGAUUACCUCACUAGACGUAAUAUUGCGAGUCAUCUACAGAAGUAUAUAUUGUACUUGAAUAGAGUCAAAUCAAAUCCACUCGGUGAUGCAAGUGAAAGACAAAACUCAUCCAUGGGGAAUCAAAGGAAUUUUAUGCAUAACCAUGAUCAUGGAAGAUGGCAUGUGUCCUCAUGUGGCAACCCCUCCUGGAGUCCAAAUUAUUUCGGUGCAACUAGUCAAUUAGGCCAGCUGACGGACAACCAGAGCAACAUGUGCAUGGGGUCGUUAAUCCAUGGUGGAAGAAUGUCGAGGUAUUUGGUUCCAAACACACCGGAUGCGAGAAGAUUUGCCGAUCCCGAAGACCCUCCCAUUAGCCUAUACAAUGGCAUACUCGAUGACAUAAUGUUAGAUGAAUUUUCCUCGUAUAGCUCUGGUACUUCCUAUGUUGACUCCAUGCGUGGCAAGUUGAUGGAGACAAGUAAAGGAAAAACCCCAUCAAAUCUUCGAAGUCACUUAACAAACACAUCUGGUGGUGGCGGGAGGUCGGCACCCACAAAUGAGUACCGGUAG
This 798-nucleotide ribosomal RNA is filed under the name Triticum aestivum (bread wheat). Its description in RNAcentral is "partial small subunit ribosomal RNA". The record is from RNAcentral. Lineage: Eukaryota; Viridiplantae; Streptophyta; Magnoliopsida; Poales; Poaceae.